CAAAGGAAUUGACGGGGCCCGCACAAGCGGAGGAGCAUGUGGUUUAAUUCGAUGAUACGCGAGGAAACCUUACCUGGGCUCGAACGUAAGAUGACUGUAGGUGAAAGCUUACAUCUCUUCGGAGCAUUUUACGAGGUGCUGCAUGGUUGUCGUCAGCUCGUGCCGUGAGGUGUCGGGUUAAGUCCCAUAACGAGCGCAACCCCUACCUUUAGUUGCCAUCAGGUUAAGCUGGGGACUCUAAAGGAACUGCCUACGCAAGUAGUGAGGAAGGCGGGGAUGACGUCAAAUCAGCACGGCCCUUACGUCCAGGGCUACACACGUGCUACAAUGGCCGAUACAGAGGGCAGCUACCUGGUGACAGGAUGCAAAUCUCCAAAGUCGGUCUCAGUUCGGAUCGGAGUCUGCAACCCGACUCCGUGAAGUUGGAUUCGCUAGUAAUCGCGCAUCAGCCAUGGCGCGGUGAAUACGUUCCCGGGCCUU
RNAcentral lists this ribosomal RNA (480 nucleotides) under uncultured Sphingobacteriales bacterium. RNAcentral's name for it is "bacterial SSU rRNA". It matches the Rfam family "Bacterial small subunit ribosomal RNA", at positions 902 to 1382 of the family's 1533-position model. The record is from RNAcentral. Lineage: Bacteria; Pseudomonadati; Bacteroidota; Sphingobacteriia; Sphingobacteriales.